UUAAUCCUUAGGGUUAGGAUAAGUCCUAAAUCCUUAGGGUUAGGAUAACCCAAUAGCUAAGGGCUAACCUAAACCUAACCCUAACCCUAGGUUUAAUCCUUAGGGUUAGGAUAAAUCCUUAAAUCCUUAGGGUUAGGAUAAGUCCUUAAAUCCUCAGGGUAAGGUUAACCCUAAAGCUCAGGGUUAACCUAACCCUAACCCUAGGGUUAACCUAACCCUAACCCUAAUCCCAUUAAAAGAAACUUUUAUCACGUUAUUUGUCUUCAGUCAGCACCACAUCCUCUUCUCUCUUGACAAACUGUCUCCAACUGAGAAAAAAUACGAUCAGCAUCUAAAAAUCUCUCAGAAUCCAGCUCCAUCCACCGGAGUUUAUUCCCAUUUUCAUUUCACGCUCAACAUGUGUGUUUGCCUGACUUCUCGUAACCCUUGAGCCACAUUUACGACACGGCGGCUGGUUCAGAGUCAGUUUGUUUUGGUCGGUUGCCAACGGGAGAUUUUAUUUAUUUAUUUAUUUUUUUGAUAUAUCGGAGCGAUCCGAGCAGCGAAUCCGCCUUUUGCGCUGGUUUCCAGAGACGUUUAAUCCCUUACGGGAUGAGGAGAGACUUACGGAAACCAAACAAUCUCAUUUAUUUAUUCAUUAAUUUUAAAUUUUCAGAAUUUUCCCAGCCUCAGUUUGAAGAGUUUUAUGUUGGAGAAAUCUGCAAAGCAGCUGGUGAAAACUUAAGCAACCGACACCAGAGGGGCAGGUUUGAAGCUACACACAGGGAAUUUAAGGGUAAGUGGUGAGUAAUAUUAGAUUUACGAGCAAAUUAGAUUUGAACGGAUUAUAUAAUAGAGUCUGAACCGUGAGAGCGGAGCUGCGUUCACACUUGCGACAGGAAAGUGCUGCAGCUCGGUUUCAGUCGGAGCUAAUAAGCAGCACGAAGCCACAGAGAGAAGUUCAGCGCGAUUCGAGUUUGUUUUUAACGCUCCGACAAUGCGUCGACCAAUCAGAAUGUUCCUGCUGCUCGUAGUGUGAACGCAGCGUAACAGACCUGCGGGAUUUCAUAGUUUUCCCGUGUGCACGUCAGAGGUAGAGGUUUAAAACGGAGACAGAAUAUUCUUAAAGGUGGAAAAAACUGAGAACAACAUGAUGAGAUUAAUGCGAUUCAGUAACUCAGUGGAUGUGCAGAGAAAUUCCUCUUCUUCCUGAACAAAGUGCGAGAACGAAUGACGUUUGGCUGCUGGGCCUCAUCUCUCAUCUCACAAUGGACGAGCUGAACAUUUCUGAUAGACGAAGAGUUUAUAAGUUUGGGUUUCAUUUGCAAAACGUGGAAAAAUAAUAAAAAAAAAACAAAAAAGAA
Molecule: long non-coding RNA, 1343 nt
Organism: Mugil cephalus (flathead mullet)
Lineage: Eukaryota; Metazoa; Chordata; Actinopteri; Mugiliformes; Mugilidae
Exons: 2
Source: RefSeq, a predicted model, not a curated record